This 105-nucleotide small nucleolar RNA is filed under the name Grosmannia clavigera kw1407. Its description in RNAcentral is "A. fumigatus snoRNA Afu_514". It matches the Rfam family "A. fumigatus snoRNA Afu_514". Lineage: Eukaryota; Fungi; Ascomycota; Sordariomycetes; Ophiostomatales; Ophiostomataceae. The record is from Rfam by way of RNAcentral.
CUUUUUGAUGAGAAAAAUUUGCGAUUGAUGGCAAGUUGGUGACCGCAACGCCUAGCUGGUUAUACCGCUUGCUCACCUGAAAUUUAUUUCUUACAUAUUCUGAAC